CUGCCGGCUACAGUGUAGUGCACGUUGGACAUGAGUGAGGUUCCCGAAGUGGUAGUGGAACAUUGCAAUGGUGUGGAGACUGAAGCCGAGGCCACGGACGAGGCGAACCAGAACGGAGAUGACGGAUUGGCCAUUGAUCCCAAACUGGGCUGCCGUGUUCAUUUCCCGAGUGACGUCAUAAGAGAAACGUAAGUGCUUGCAAACUUCCUACGAGUUCAGAAACUCAUAUGUGAAAUCGAUGCGACGUCGUGGAAACGGUAAGUAAGCAAUAUAUUCAGUAAAAAUCACCAUCAUCUACCAACUUUGUUGAAGUUGACUCUUUGUUUACUAAAACACAAAUCUUUUAACUUCAGU
Long non-coding RNA from Spodoptera frugiperda (fall armyworm), 354 nucleotides. RefSeq lists it as uncharacterized. The transcript has 3 exons. NCBI's taxonomy places the organism in Eukaryota, Metazoa, Arthropoda, Insecta, Lepidoptera, Noctuidae. The record is from RefSeq and is a predicted model, not a curated record.